GCUGACUAAAAUUGUCAGCGCUGACAGUUUAGUCAGCGCUGACAAAAAUUCGUUUCAUCAAACUCUCGGAGCUUCUCUGACUAUUGUCAGUGAAUUUUUAUUUUACAAAUCGUCUUGAACGAGGUUCGCUGACUAAUUAGGCCACGCCCACUCCCAAAGUUGUGAAGAAGAUGUAAAAUUGGUUGAUGUUUUCGCCGCAACGAUUCGAAGUGAAACGAAGAAAUAAGUAGAAGCGAAGGUCCCCGAAGAGGUGAAUGAGGAUUUUACCACUAUGGACAUUUUAACAAUAUGCAGAAGGAGACGGGUCUGGAACUAGAAAGCUAGGCUCUGACUGGUCUACUACAGCAAGGAAUGUGCCAGCGGCCAAUCUGAUAAACAUGUGGCAGAAGAUUUGGCAGUGGGUGAAGAAAUACUGAGAUUGAAAUGCAACCACAGGUGGAGGCUUCACCCAAACUUUUCAGACAGACAUGAGAUGCAAAGUUACCAAAGUAUAAAUGGUUGAAGGUUUAGGAGAGCAAGACAAGAAGGCAUGAAAUGUGAUGUCACUUGUAAGUUACUUCAAUAAUCAUGAACAGCAGCAGGAGCAACAACAGCAUCAGCAGCCGAAACCACAACUGCAGUAAGAGAUGCAACAACCACACCCACAACAACAAGAGCAGCAGCAAAAACAACAGAAAUUCCAGCAACCACGAUGACAACAGCAGCAGCAACACCAACAACACUAAUGAAUAUUGAAAAACUUGUACAAAAGUCAAUGAGGUCACAGACAUUUUCAGACAUUAUUGAUUAAAAAAUGCACAAUGAUUUAUUCGGGUUGAAGAAAAGAACAUAAAUGUUUUUAAAAAUGUGUACAUUUGAAGGUGUUUCCUAUCAAAUUGUAUCAAUUAAUUUAUGAAAAUAUAGCUUUAAAGAUAAAAAUAUGAUGCUUGAAAUGUCUACUUUUUAUUUGUCAUUGACUGAAAAUAAAUACAUUUUCUUUGAAUUUUCUUAAUGAAAUGAAAAAUAAGCAAUUUAUUAAAAUGUUAUAUUCAAAAUCAACUGAAAUUGAUAAAUUUUAGCUGCUAAAGUCCAUAAAAGGCUGAUUAGUCGGUGAAAAUAAGUUUUGUCGGUAGGUGAAGGCCACCGACAAAAUUAGUCGGUGGUUUCCAAUAAUUUGUCGGAGAAAAUCACCGACAAAUUUUGAUGAAAUGGAAUUUAGUCGGUGAUGGCAAAAUUGUCGGUGAAACUGAAAUUAGUCGGUGAAAAUCACAUUUAGUCGGAGAAAACCACCGACUAAUUGUUUGAUGAAACGCCCCCC
Lytechinus pictus (painted urchin) is the source of this 1297-nucleotide long non-coding RNA. RefSeq lists it as uncharacterized. The transcript has 4 exons. NCBI's taxonomy places the organism in Eukaryota, Metazoa, Echinodermata, Echinoidea, Temnopleuroida, Toxopneustidae. The record is from RefSeq and is a predicted model, not a curated record.